GGGGAUGUUUUGGAUUUGCCAAGGUCAACGAAAUUUAUAUAGCAUAUCUUGGUUACGCAAGUAAAAACGUCGAGGUUAUAAUAACCGGAAAUAACAAACAAACUGUAACAAAUACACAAAAUUUUGCUGGACAAACUCCAGUUUAUCAAAUGAAUUUUGCAAACAGUUUUUCUUCACAAUUAGCUUUUGUUUAAAAAAAUAAGCAAAACCCGCACUUAAAUUAACUUACGAUUUAAGGAAGGCAAUAAGGUAAGUUUUGCUAAUUGAGUUUGUCUUUGCUCUUUUAGCAAAUAUCAAAAAGACUAGUAAUUUAUGGAUUUUGUUUGUUUUUUCAUAAAUUGCGAACUUACAAAAUAAACUAAAUAUGUAGAAUAUAUAAAUUAAAGUGAUUUUGUACAUGGGUUCGACUCCCAUCAUCUCCACCA
This 425-nucleotide transfer-messenger RNA is filed under the name Candidatus Phytoplasma australiense. It matches the Rfam family "transfer-messenger RNA". From Rfam's summary of the family: Bacterial tmRNA, also known as 10Sa RNA or SsrA, is named for its dual tRNA and mRNA-like properties. Its role is to liberate the mRNA from a stalled ribosome. RNAcentral also lists the same sequence under 2 other names. Lineage: Bacteria; Bacillati; Mycoplasmatota; Mollicutes; Acholeplasmatales; Acholeplasmataceae. The record is from RNAcentral.